Molecule: unclassified non-coding RNA, 352 nt
Filed under: soil metagenome
Description: partial contains 5.8S ribosomal RNA, internal transcribed spacer 2, and large subunit ribosomal RNA
Rfam family: 5.8S ribosomal RNA (bases 1-120)
Source: RNAcentral
GAUGAAGAACGUAGCGAAAUGCGAUAAGUAAUGUGAAUUGCAGAAUUCAGUGAAUCAUCGAAUCUUUGAACGCACAUUGCGCCCGCCAGUAUUCUGGCGGGCAUGCCUGUCCGAGCGUCAUUUCAACCCUCGAACCCCUCCGGGGGGUCGGCGUUGGGGAUCGGCCCUCCCUUAGCGGGUGGCCGUCUCCGAAAUACAGUGGCGGUCUCGCCGCAGCCUCUCCUGCGCAGUAGUUUGCACACUCGCAUCGGGAGCGCGGCGCGUCCACAGCCGUUAAACACCCAACUUCUGAAAUGUUGACCUCGGAUCAGGUAGGAAUACCCGCUGAACUUAAGCAUAUCAAUGCGGAGGA